RNAcentral lists this ribosomal RNA (163 nucleotides) under Bacillus cereus. RNAcentral's name for it is "partial 23S ribosomal RNA". It matches the Rfam family "Bacterial large subunit ribosomal RNA", at positions 2763 to 2925 of the family's 2925-position model. RNAcentral also lists the same sequence under 2 other names. The record is from RNAcentral. Lineage: Bacteria; Bacillati; Bacillota; Bacilli; Caryophanales; Bacillaceae.
GAUAAGUGCUGAAAGCAUCUAAGCAUGAAGCCCCCCUCAAGAUGAGAUUUCCCAUAGCGUAAGCUAGUAAGAUCCCUGAAAGAUGAUCAGGUUGAUAGGUUCGAGGUGGAAGCAUGGUGACAUGUGGAGCUGACGAAUACUAAUAGAUCGAGGACUUAACCAU